RNAcentral lists this ribosomal RNA (1169 nucleotides) under Oenococcus oeni. Its description in RNAcentral is "bacterial LSU rRNA". It matches the Rfam family "Bacterial large subunit ribosomal RNA", at positions 1745 to 2925 of the family's 2925-position model. The record is from RNAcentral. Lineage: Bacteria; Bacillati; Bacillota; Bacilli; Lactobacillales; Lactobacillaceae.
GGACUGCUGGUUUUAUACCAGCCGCAGCAAAUAGGCCCAAACAACUGUUUAUCAAAAACACAGGUUUCUGCAAAAUCGUAAGAUGAAGUAUAGGGGCUGACGCCUGCCCAGUGCUGGAAGGUUAAAAGGAGGACUUAGCUUCGGCGAAGGUCUUAAUUGAAGCCCCAGUGAACGGCGGCCGUAACUAUAACGGUCCUAAGGUAGCGAAAUUCCUUGUCGGGUAAGUUCCGACCCGCAUGAAAGGCGUAAUGAUUUGGGCGCUGUCUCAACAAUAGACUCGGUGAAAUUUAAAUUCCAGUGAAGAUGCUGGGUACCCGCGACAGGACGGAAAGACCCCGUGGAGCUUUACUGUAGCUUGAUAUUGAAUGUUUGUGCUGCAUGUGCAGGAUAGGUAGGAGACUUUGAAGUCGGAACGCUAGUUUCGAUUGAGUCACCCUUGAGAUACUACCUCUGUUGUAUGAACGUUCUAACUCUGAUCAGUUAUCCUGAUCGAAGACAGUGUCUGGCAGGCAGUUUGACUGGGGCGGUCGCCUCCUAAAAGAUAACGGAGGCGCUCAAAGGUUUGCUCAGAAUGGUUGGAAAUCAUUCGUAGCGUGUAAAGGCAUAAGCAAGCUUGACUGUGAGACUGACAAGUCGAGCAGGUACGAAAGUAGGACUUAGUGAUCCGGUGGUUCCGUAUGGAAGGGCCAUCGCUCAACGGACAAAAGCUACCCCGGGGAUAACAGGCUCAUCUCCCCCAAGAGUCCACAUCGACGGGGAGGUUUGGCACCUCGAUGUCGGCUCAUCGCAUCCUGGGGCUGUAGUCGGUCCCAAGGGUUGGGCUGUUCGCCCAUUAAAGCGGUACGCGAGCUGGGUUCAGAACGUCGUGAGACAGUUCGGUCCCUAUCCGUCGUGGGCGCAGGAAAUUUGAGAGGAUCUGUCCUUAGUACGAGAGGACCGGGAUGGACAUACCUCUGGUGUACCAGUUGUUCUGCCAAGAGCACCGCUGGGUAGCUACGUAUGGAUUAGAUAAUCGCUGAAAGCAUCUAAGUGAGAAACUAACCUCGAGAUGAGAUUUCCCAUUCGUCAGAAGUAAGACCCCUGAGAGACGAUCAGGUAGAUAGGCUAGAAGUGGAAGUGUAGUGAUGCAUGGAGCGGACUAGUACUAAUAGGUCGAGGACUUAACCAAG